CACAGACACACCUGCAUGCACACACAAGCUUGCACAGACACACCUGCAUGCACACACAGGCUUGCACAGACACACCUUCAUGCACACACAGGCUUGCACAGACACACCUGCAUGCAUACAAGGCUUGCACAGACACACCUGCAUGCACACACAGGAUUGCACAGACACACCUGCAUGAACACAAGGCUUGCACAAACAAGCACAUAGUGCAUACACCCAAACAAAUGCAAGCUCGAAAACAUACUCAUGCAUGAACACACUCAGAGCAUGCAUACACCCAAGCAGACAAUCAAAGUGUGCACACAUGCACACUUGCACAGUGCACACAUGCACACAUCCACACAUGCACACAUGCACAUACCCAUACCACUCAUGCUUGUGCACAAUUUCAAAUGCACAUGCUCAGAGUAGGCAGACACUCAAAUACAGACACACUCAUGCACACACUACAAGUGUACACACACAAGCAUACAUUCUCAUGUUUGCAUACAUCCAAAGCACACAAACAAAGGCACAUGUGCCCUCAUGAUGCACACAUGAGUGCAAACUUCCAAAGUGUACAUACCCAAAGCAUUCACACACAAGAAAUCUGUAUGCUUUCACACAUGCACACCUGCAUGCAUGUACACUCAAAGCAUGCCACACACAUCAGUGCACACCCCCAGAGCAUACACAUACAAGCACAUGUACUGCCAUGCAGUGCAUACGCAAAGCAUGCACACAGCCACACACGUGCAUGUGUACAAGCCCACAGACAUACACAGACAUGCUUCACAACUGCACUCUAGAAGAGAGCACGGGGCAGAUGGCUCGGUGGUUACCUCUGCAGACUGACACUGGAGAAAUCCAUAAGUUACUCAUUGCUGAGGCUUGGGAGAAGGCUCAGUUGGCAAAGUGCUGGCCACACAAGCAUGGAGACCAGAAUUUGCCCCCAGAACCCACAUAAAAAGCCAGGUGUUGUGACAUACACUUCUAAUCCCAGCCCCAGGAGGCAGGUGGAUCCCUAACACACUCUGGCUGGCCAGCCCAGACAGAUGCAUGGGUUAUAGGUCUCAAGAAUAAGAUAGACGGCAUUAUGAAUAAUAAUAUCCGAAGUCAACCUCUGGCCGCCACGCAAGCACACAUGUGUGCACCUCCAUACACACUCACCACACAAACACAUGAACAAAAUCCACAGUGGUGCCCAGACAUACAUUCAGGCAAAACACUCAUACACAUUAAAUUAAAUAUUAAGAAGUUAAAUUUAUAUAAUAAAUCUUUUAGGAAAUUAAAGUCCAUGCUGAAUGGAGGCUGCACAGCAUUGUCUUCAUCCUUCCACCCCAGGACCUCACACCUACUUCCAGACUGUCGUCACAAAGCAGGGGAGCCCGCCAAGACCUCCCAUUAAGAGGGGGAACUAGAAGAAGUUUGCAGCCCUUCCUUGGAUCCAGCCAGGCAUCUGUGAGCCCAAAAAGGGCCGCCAGGCAUGAGAGGUAGAUGUCCUCAAAAUCUGCAGGCACGGGGGGGAUGCAGUCACACACAGAGGCACACCUGUGUGUAACAUGCAUUUACACUCACAGGCACAUAGUAAACAAAGAUCCAAAAGUACACACAGAGAUAGCCACACACCCAUAGCCACACACACACUCACACACACACACACUCACACACACACACACACUCACACACACUCACACACACACACACACACUCACACACACACACACACACUCACACACACUCACACACACACACACUCACACACUCACACACUCACACACACACUCACACACAGAGACACUCACAGACACUCACACACACUCACACACACUCACACACACUCACACAGACACUCACACACACAGACACUCUUUCUCUUACAUCUUAUGAACACAGAUACAUGCAUAAAUACUCGAAAGGCAUCAUUCAUUCACACAGAGUCACCCCACGCAGACGUGUGCUCGCAUACACACAGGGAAAUACAUUCACACACAACAGAUAGAGAUAUACAUGCUAACACCCAGUCAUUCAUGCACACACUAAUACCCAGAUUCACGCACACACACACUCCCCUGCAUCAAUGCUCUUUUUUCUUUUUCUUCCCCCACCUCACCCCCUCCACACCCCAUGUGUACUAAAGUCUGACAUAGCCCAGGCUAUCGGUGAACUCAUUAUAUAGCAAAGUAUGACUGUGAACUUCUGAUUCUCCUGCCUCUGCCUCCUGGGUGUUGGGAUUACAAAUAUGCACCACCUGCCUAGCUGUACCACGGUUUGUCUUAAAGGAGACUUCAGCAGUAGGAAGUUGAGAACAGAGCAGACCACAGGGACAGUAAAGUCAAGGUCGGACCAAAGGCAGGGUUAAGACUAAGGUCGGACUAGUGCCAAAGUCAACACCUGCACUGCCAGCCCCGCUCUUCCUCCUUACUUUGGCCUCUAGGUGUCAGGAUCCACAGCCAGGGGAGGGAUACCCGCCUACCAGCUCUCUCUGGGCUCCUCUACCUCGCGGCCAAGAAACUUCAAGUCAGACCAGUUCCCACAAGCAGCACUAGGUGGCGCUCCGCUAACAAAGAUCUGAAUGGACCUCACAGCCAGCUCAGCCCAAGUCACAGCGCCCCAGGUCCUCAAUCCGCACGUGUCCCAGCCUCAGCUUCCAUCUAAGGCCUGAGCCGCAUGCCUCUACAGCGGUGGAUAAAUGGAAGAUCUUCAGAGUGGAGCAGAGGCAGGGCCGGAACGACCUCGCUGACAGAGCUGCUACUUACCCAGUGAGGGGCUGGUAGCCUGGCUCAGCAUCACAACACCUGCAAAACCCUGGAUCCUAUCUCCAGCGCUGGAAAGUAAUAAGUUAAUUAAGCUAAAGGUGGGAUUGAUGCAGCACACAUAGUGGCUGCUGACUAUAAUCAGCACUCUGGAGGCUGAAGGGAGGAGGGACUGCGCUUCAAGGGCAGCCUGAGCUACGUGGUGAGUUCUGGACUGCAUGAGACCCUGACUCAAAAACUAAAUAAACUGAAAAAAUAAAAACAUGAUGCAUGCCCACAGAAUAAAGGAGACCCCUGACCCACAACAUGGCGAGCCUGAGUCAGACCCCUCUGGUCUGACCCUCACUCAGCUCUGCCUCAAGCCCUCCAAGGACAAAUUAGGUAACAACAGGUGCAAGGUGCAGACCCAUAAUUCCCACACCAGAGAGGCUGAAGCAGGAGGAUUUCGAUGAAUUGGAGGUCAGCCUGGGCUACACAAAGAGACUCUGACUCAAAAGUAAGAGCUGGCCAUGGUGGAACAGUCUGGAAUCCCAGUACUAGAGAGACAGAGACAGGAAGAUCAUGAGUUCAAAGUCGUUCUGGGCUACACAACAUCCCAGCCUGGGAUGCUUGAGAUACUGUCUCAAAAAUGGGGGGAGGGCAGGAGAAGGAAGAAUGAAAGAAAAAGGGAGAGGAGGAGGAAAUAAUACUCAGAUUCCUUCAAGGACAGACGCUCACAUCUGAGCCUUGCAUACCCUUCCUGUGACAAGGAGCUCAUCACCCCUCAAGGCCUCUUAACCCACCUCCUCACAGCUGUGACUACAGAUUAACUGGAUUCUGCCCCUGUCAUUCUGGCCUUCCUGUCUAGUCGUGGCAUCUGGGCUUUGUAAGGUCCCUGUGGAGUCUACAGAGAGUGUCUUCCUUCCCAGAGCAACUCCAUCAGAUCUGAGCAGAUAUCACUGCUCCUCAGACACACUUAGUCUCAGAACUCAGUCCUGUGAGAUGCAAUGGGCAGGCCUGGCUUGCAGUCCCACGUCUUCAAUGCCAAAAGAAGAGGGACAGCAGAGAAGAGAAGGGACCCAAAGCCAAGUUCCACAAAGCAACUCAGAAAAUGUCUACGGAGCGCUGGGAAUGUGGCUCAGUUGUGAGUGCAUGACUAGGCUGUGAGAUGCUGUGGUUCCCAGCCCAGCACCAUACACACACUGGUACUGUGGUCCCAGAACUUAGGAGGCAAACAGACACAAGAGGAUCAGGGGUUCGAGGCCAUCCUUGGCUACAUAGCAAGUUCAAGGCCAGCCUAGGCUACACAAGACCCUCUCUCUAAAAAAUGUUAAAAAAUAAAACGUUCGUGUGUGAUAGCUCAGUGAGUAAAGGACUUGCCUUGCAAGUAUAAGAAUCUGAGUUAAUUUCCCAGAAUCCAUAUCAUUUUUUUUAAGAUGGGCAUUGUGGUAUGUGCUUGUAAAUCCUAAUGUUGGGGGAAAUGGAGACCAGUGAAUCCUCAGGGCUUGUUGGCCAGCCAGCCCAGACUAAUAGGAAACCCUUUCUCGAAACAGAGUGCACAUUGUCCUGACAAACAACAUAACACACACACACACACACACACACACACACACACACCACAUAACACACCACACAUACACACACAUACCUCCACACAACACACACUUACAUACACCACACACACACACAUACCACAUACACCAUACAUACACACCACAUACACACACACCACAUAUUCCACAAACACACCACAUAUACCACACAUACCAUACACAUACACACCACACAUACACCAUACACACACACAUCCCCCAAAGCACAUACACUUACAUACAUCUAAACACGCACACACACACUUGCACACCCAGAACAUAUCCACAGAUUGAUUGAUUGACACUUUACAAGAAUCAAACACUUUUCACAUGGCACCCCCGGCUGUAGCCAGAUUACUGCCCUAUAAAUGAGUAAGAAAUGUGUUGACUGAUUCAUGAGGAGACAGAGCCAAGCCCAAGACAGUCACCCAAGGAUGACGAAGCUCUGUAACUCUAAUGACUGCCUGCUGAACAAGUUAUCAGUUCUGCCUGGAGGGCAAGGAGAGGCCCCGGAAGGCUUCGCAGAGGAGGGGACAAUUCGCUCACUACCCAUUAGUGGUGUUUGGGUUGCAACCAACCUGGUGACCUAGUGACUGUUGCCUUGGGAGAGAUGGGCUGGUGAAAGGAUGAGCG
Molecule: long non-coding RNA, 4939 nt
Filed under: Cricetulus griseus (Chinese hamster)
Lineage: Eukaryota; Metazoa; Chordata; Mammalia; Rodentia; Cricetidae
Description: lncRNA (ENSCGRG00015042961.1)
Source: RNAcentral